This 342-nucleotide ribosomal RNA is filed under the name Curvularia lunata. RNAcentral describes it as "eukaryotic LSU rRNA". The stretch from base 1 to 120 matches the Rfam family "5.8S ribosomal RNA", at positions 35 to 154 of the family's 154-position model. The record is from RNAcentral. Lineage: Eukaryota; Fungi; Ascomycota; Dothideomycetes; Pleosporales; Pleosporaceae.
GAUGAAGAACGCAGCGAAAUGCGAUACGUAGUGUGAAUUGCAGAAUUCAGUGAAUCAUCGAAUCUUUGAACGCACAUUGCGCCCUUUGGUAUUCCAAAGGGCAUGCCUGUUCGAGCGUCAUUUGUACCCUCAAGCUUUGCUUGGUGUUGGGCGUUUUGUCUUUGGUUGCCAAAGACUCGCCUUAAAACGAUUGGCAGCCGGCCUACUGGUUUCGCAGCGCAGCACAUUUUUGCGCUUGCAAUCAGCAAAAGAGGACGGCACUCCAUCAAGACUCUUUAUCACUUUUGACCUCGGAUCAGGUAGGGAUACCCGCUGAACUUAAGCAUAUCAAUAAGCGGAGGA